AUCAACUUUCGAUGGUAGGAUAGAGGCCUACCAUGGUGGUAACGGGUAACGGGGUGUUAGGGCACGACACCGGAGAGGGAGCCUGAGAAACGGCUACCACAUCCAAGGAUGGCGGCAGGCGCGCAAAUUACCCAAUCCCGACACGGGGAGGUAGUGACAAUAAAUAACAAUACGGGGUUCUUUCGGAUCUCGUAAUUGGAAUGAGUACAAUUUAAAUCUCUUAACGAGGAACAAUUGGAGGGCAAGUCUGGUGCCAGCAGCCGCGGUAAUUCCAGCUCCAAUAGCGUAUAUUAAAGUUGUUGCAGUUAAAAAGCUCGUAGUUGAAUUUCGGGAUCAGAUUGUCGGUCGUGCCUCGGUACGCACUGGCAUUAUUGGUUCCUACCUUCUGAAGAACCGCGAUGUCAUUAAUUUGGUGUCGCGGGGAAUCAGGACUGUUACUUUGAAAAAAUUAGAGUGUUUAAAGCAGGCGCACGCUUGAAUACAUUAGCAUGGAAUAAUGAAAUAGGACGUUUGAUUCUAUUUUGUUGGUUUCUAGGAUCGACGUAAUGAUUAAUAGGGAUAGUUGGGGGCAUUAGUAUUCAAUUGUCAGAGGUGAAAUUCUUGGAUUUAUUGAAGACUAACUACUGCGAAAGCAUUUGCCAAGGAUGUUUUCAUUAAUCAAGAACGAAAGUUAGGGGAUCGAAGACGAUCAGAUACCGUCGUAGUCUUAACCAUAAACUAUGCCGACUAGGGGUCGGAUGAUGUUAAUUUUUUAAUGACUCAUUCGGCGCCUUACGGGAAACCAAAGUGUUUGGGUUC
RNAcentral lists this ribosomal RNA (798 nucleotides) under uncultured Glomus. RNAcentral describes it as "SSU rRNA". It matches the Rfam family "Eukaryotic small subunit ribosomal RNA", at positions 314 to 1114 of the family's 1831-position model. Lineage: Eukaryota; Fungi; Glomeromycota; Glomeromycetes; Glomerales; Glomeraceae. The record is from RNAcentral.